GGGAACCUCACCCGGCCCGGACACCGCGAGGAUUGACAGACUGAGAGCUCUUUCUCGAUUCGGUGGGUGGUGGUGCAUGGCCGUUCUUAGUUGGUGGAGCGAUCUGUCUGGUUAAUUCCGAUACGAACGAGACCCCAACCUGCUAACUAGCCCUCGGGUCCUGCUUCUGUUGGGCCCGACGGAAUGAUUCGCUUCUUAGAGGGACUCGCGGCGCCUAGCCGCACGAAGGGGGGCGAUAA
RNAcentral lists this ribosomal RNA (239 nucleotides) under uncultured eukaryote. RNAcentral's name for it is "partial 18S ribosomal RNA". It matches the Rfam family "Eukaryotic small subunit ribosomal RNA", at positions 1208 to 1456 of the family's 1831-position model. The record is from RNAcentral.